GACGAACGCUGGCGGCGUGCUUAACACAUGCAAGUCGAACGGGGCUUGCCCUUUGGGGUGGGUUUAGUGGCGAACGGGUGAGUAACACGUGGGUAAUCUGCCCUCAGCUCUGGGAUAACUCCGGGAAACCGGGCUAAUACUGGAUAUGACUACUGGUGACAUCGCCUGGUGGUGGAAAGAUUUUUUGGUCGUGAGGAGUGGCCCGGCCGGCC
RNAcentral lists this ribosomal RNA (212 nucleotides) under uncultured bacterium. RNAcentral describes it as "partial 16S ribosomal RNA". It matches the Rfam family "Bacterial small subunit ribosomal RNA", at positions 28 to 238 of the family's 1533-position model. The record is from RNAcentral.